GGAAGGGUGUCCGAGCGGUUUAAGGAGCUAGUCUUGAAAACUAGUGAUACGGCAACGUACCGUGGGUUCGAAUCCCACCCCUUCCGCCA
Molecule: transfer RNA, 89 nt
Filed under: Megasphaera vaginalis (ex Srinivasan et al. 2021)
Lineage: Bacteria; Bacillati; Bacillota; Negativicutes; Veillonellales; Veillonellaceae
Description: Megasphaera sp. BV3C16-1 tRNA-Ser
Rfam family: tRNA
About the family: Transfer RNA (tRNA) molecules are approximately 80 nucleotides in length. Their secondary structure includes four short double-helical elements and three loops (D, anti-codon, and T loops).
Source: RNAcentral